UUCAACUAUAGCUCUGCAAUGGGAUGGGAUCCGAAGCCCCUCGAUGGAUAACACAUGCUUCCCAUCCCAUUAUGCUGAGCUAGCAUAAAAUGUGCCAUGCCCGAUGGAGCAGUGAUCAUCAGCAUCUACACGAAGUGGA
This 139-nucleotide ribozyme is filed under the name Anopheles gambiae (African malaria mosquito). Its description in RNAcentral is "drz-agam-2-2 ribozyme". It matches the Rfam family "drz-agam-2-2 ribozyme". The record is from Rfam by way of RNAcentral. Lineage: Eukaryota; Metazoa; Arthropoda; Insecta; Diptera; Culicidae.